AUACGGAGGGGGCUAGCGUUAUUCGGAAUUACUGGGCGUAAAGGGCGCGUAGGCGGUUGAUUAAGUCGGAUGUGAAAGCCCUCGGCUUAACCGAGGAAUUGCAUCCGAUACUGGUCAACUCGAGUGCGGGAGGGGAGAGUGGAACUCCAGGUGUAGCGGUGAAAUGCGUAGAUAUCUGGAGGAACACCGGUGGCGAAGGCGGCUCACCGGGUCUCUUCUGACGCUGAGGCACGAAAGCUAGGGUAGCGAACGGGAUUAGAAACCCCAGUAGUCC
RNAcentral lists this ribosomal RNA (274 nucleotides) under uncultured bacterium. RNAcentral's name for it is "partial 16S ribosomal RNA". It matches the Rfam family "Bacterial small subunit ribosomal RNA", at positions 523 to 796 of the family's 1533-position model. The record is from RNAcentral.